GACGAACGCUGGCGGCGUGCUUAACACAUGCAAGUCGAACGGUGAACCUCUUCGCAGGGGACCAGUGGCUUACGGGUGAGUAACACGUUGACAACCUGCUCCCGUCUCUGGGAUAACUCCAAGAAAUUGGGGCUAAUACCGGAUGUUCACCGCUUCCCGCAUGGGUGAUGGUUGAAAGGGUUUACGGCUGGGGAUUGGCCCGCGGCCUAUCAGCUUGUUGGUGGUGUAGUGGCCUUCCAAGGACAGGACGGAUAGCCGGCCUGAGAGGGUGACCGGCCACACGGGGACUGAGAGAGGGCCCAGACUCGAACGGGAGGCAGCAGUGGGGAGUAUUGCGCAAUGGGCGGAAGCCUGACGCAGCGACGCCGCGUGGGGGAUGACGGCCUUCUGGUUGUAAACCUCUUUCUGCAGGGACGAAGCGCAAUUGACGGUACCUGCAGAGGAAGCACCGGCCAACUACGUG
This 463-nucleotide ribosomal RNA is filed under the name uncultured bacterium. RNAcentral's name for it is "partial 16S ribosomal RNA". It matches the Rfam family "Bacterial small subunit ribosomal RNA", at positions 28 to 507 of the family's 1533-position model. The record is from RNAcentral.